AAACAGCCAGCAUGCUGAUCUUGGACUUCCAGCCUCCAGAGCUGCGAGAAACAAAUGUCUGUGGUUUAAACCUCCCAGUGUGUGGUAAUUUCUUAGAGCAGCCCAAACUGCCUAGGACGCAAGCCAACGCUGGGCGAUUCCAUCACCGAAGGGAGUCAGGGAGGAUGGAUCUGGGAGACAAGAACGUGCCCUGCCACAAAGCAAACUGCUUCUCGAAUCUACGACUACAGACCCCCUACCACACAGAACAAACCAGAAGACUUGACGGGGACACAGUGAGCACGAGUGACAUUGAUUUAGGCCUUCCUGGGGUUUGAAACCCAACUGAGUCUUUUAUAUUCAGAAUCAACUAGAAACCUCAGAACAGCCCUACAAGGCUGGUUCUCUAUCAUCCCCAUUUUACAGAUGAGAAAAAGAGAGGAUUAGAACGCUAAGCAACUUUUCCAGGAUGAGGAAGCGUCAGAGUUGGAAUCUGACCCAAAGCACUGUGUCUAGAGGUGGUGCUUUGAUCCCCACAUUGCACUGCCUUCCUAGAGCCACAGAAUUCCCGGCCCCACCUCUGAUCCUCUCAGGGUCUUUUUGGCGGACAAGCACUAGGGUGGCCCCAGGAUCUGAUGCUCAUCUCCCGUGUGAGCCCCUCCCCUUGACUGUGGACAGAAGCUGUGAAUUGCUUCUAGACGUGACGACCAUGGAAAAGGUGAUGGAUGGCGGUGAUUAGGUGCAUGUGAUUACGUUACACAAGACUGGAACACCUGUCGUGCUGGGUGUGAAUGAGCAAGCCGCCGUGUUGUAGUGCCCUUUGGAAAAGGCCACGUGGCAGUGAACUGAGGGCAGCCUUGAGCCUCCAGCCAAAAAGAAAAUGCACCCUCCGUCCAGCAGCCUGUAAGGAACCACCAACAACCGCCUGGGCUUGGAAGCAGACGCCCUCCCCAGCCAAGCCUCAGAUGAGACCGCAGCCCCAGCCAGCACCUUCACUGCAGCUCUGGGAGACACAGAGCAGAGGACCCGGUCACGCUGCACCCAGAUUCCUGACCCAUGAAAAUUAUGAGGGAGUAAAUAGCACCUGCUAUAUGCCUUGUGUGGUUGUGAUCACUGCAGACAAUAACAGCUUCCUACAAAAAUGCAAGAACACGGUUGUAUGCUCUUACAGUUCUGGAAGAUGGAAGUCCAUCAGGGUCUUGCUGGGCUAACACCAAGGGGCCAGCAAGGCUGCACUCCU
Molecule: long non-coding RNA, 1219 nt
Filed under: Equus caballus (horse)
Lineage: Eukaryota; Metazoa; Chordata; Mammalia; Perissodactyla; Equidae
Description: lncRNA (ENSECAG00000055626.1)
Source: RNAcentral